This is a long non-coding RNA of Pocillopora verrucosa, 624 nucleotides long. RefSeq lists it as uncharacterized. NCBI's taxonomy places the organism in Eukaryota, Metazoa, Cnidaria, Anthozoa, Scleractinia, Pocilloporidae. The record is from RefSeq and is a predicted model, not a curated record.
CUGAAGCAGAGGCAAAGCGCCGUUCAAAAGCACUACGAUUCGUCGGUGAAAAUUUCGCCAUCACGCUUCAUACUGUACUUUAUACUCUUAAAACAUUUCGACAAAGAAAAAGCAAGCAAGAAGUAAGGAAUAGGAAAAAGCUGAAUUGAUUUUGUUCUGUGCCUUUUGAUGCGGUUUGACGCUCUGCGAAAGAUGACAGCUCGUACACUAGUUUGCCUUUUGCCGUUGCUUCACACAAUUCUCUCUGUGAAAGGUUGUGACCACUGCGAGUGCGACCAUAGAGGGGCUCUGUCGUCUUGCCAACUGGUUUCCCCUCAGUGUAAGCCCCAUCAUGAUCUUGUCCCUGAAGCAACAAUGUGUGAUGCAAGGGGGCUGAAAUGCUGCCGAAUGACUUGCGAUGGACCUGGAACGAUGUGUUUACCUGAAGAGGGUCGUUCGAGUUCAACAUAUGCUGAUUUAGGAACCAAGACUUGUAAGGAAGGAUUUAUAUGCGUAAAGGCUGCGUCUCGUCUUAGGAAAAAGUUACGGAUUCCAUGAUGUCAUUGCUCAUGGUUAGGAUAAUUGAGGUCAGAUAUAUAAUUUUUUAAAAUUUCUUUUGGACGCCUAUGAGAUGUGAAUUAUACU